This 325-nucleotide ribosomal RNA is filed under the name Metapseudomonas resinovorans. Its description in RNAcentral is "bacterial SSU rRNA". It matches the Rfam family "Bacterial small subunit ribosomal RNA", at positions 94 to 422 of the family's 1533-position model. Lineage: Bacteria; Pseudomonadati; Pseudomonadota; Gammaproteobacteria; Pseudomonadales; Pseudomonadaceae. The record is from RNAcentral.
AGCGGCGGACGGGUGAGUAAUGCCUAGGAAUCUGCCCGAUAGUGGGGGACAACGUUUCGAAAGGAACGCUAAUACCGCAUACGUCCUACGGGAGAAAGUGGGGGAUCUUCGGACCUCACGCUAUCGGAUGAGCCUAGGUCGGAUUAGCUAGUUGGUGGGGUAAUGGCUCACCAAGGCGACGAUCCGUAACUGGUCUGAGAGGAUGAUCAGUCACACUGGAACUGAGACACGGUCCAGACUCCUACGGGAGGCAGCAGUGGGGAAUAUUGGACAAAGGGCGAAAGCCUGAUCCAGCCAUGCCGUGUGUGUGAAGAAGGUCUUCUGA